RNAcentral lists this long non-coding RNA (547 nucleotides) under Homo sapiens (human). RNAcentral's name for it is "long intergenic non-protein coding RNA 971". The record is from RNAcentral. Lineage: Eukaryota; Metazoa; Chordata; Mammalia; Primates; Hominidae.
GCCACUGCACUCCAGCCUGGGCGACAGAGCAAGACUCCGUCUCAAAACAAAAAACAAACAAACAAAUAUGGAGCAUUCUGAUAUGAAUAAGACACUUGCUCACUUCUCAAUUCCUUGGUGUCCAGGCUCCGGCACAAAUGAACCAUGUUCUUCGCCUAAGUCAUUUAUGGAACAUCUGCUUUCGGUUUAGCAUCAGCUUUGUGACCUAGUAAUAUCUUUCUCGAGUGCAUGAAACAUCUCAGAAAUGCAAACAUCAAGGAAGAUACUAAUCCUUUCUUCCAGUUUCUGUGUGAGGGUUGGAGGCUGACUUUGGUGGUGAUCUUGCUCCAAAUUAUAGAACUACAUCCUGUCAUGAAGAGAAGUUUGUCUUCUCGAUAAAGCCAAGUAGCUAACAGAGAUGGUCACCCCAAUUACCAGAUGGACAUAAUUAUACUUGAAUGCUGACCUACAACAUUUUGUGCUGUGCAGAGGCUUUGAAAAUCAAACAACUUUGAAAAUACAAAGCACCGCGUGGAUGUAAGUUUAUUAAAUUUUGUUUUCAUCAACA